UACGUAGGUGGCAAGCGUUGUCCGGAAUUACUGGGCGUAAAGGGCGUGUAGGCGGCCUUUUAAGUCAGACGUGAAAUCUCUGGGCUUAACCCAGAAAUUGCGUUUGAAACUGGAAGGCUUGAGGAUCGGAGAGGGUAGUGGAAUUCCCAGUGUAGCGGUGAAAUGCGUAGAUAUUGGGAGGAACACCAGUGGCGAAGGCGACUGCCUGGACGACACCUGACGCUGAGGCGCGAAAGCCAGGGGAGCAAACGGG
Molecule: ribosomal RNA, 253 nt
Filed under: Hydrogenispora sp.
Lineage: Bacteria; Bacillati; Bacillota
Also listed under: 1 other name
Description: partial 16S ribosomal RNA
Rfam family: Bacterial small subunit ribosomal RNA
Source: RNAcentral